UAGAGUUUGAUCCUGGCUCAGGACGAACGCUGGCGGUGCGCCUUAUGCAUGCAAGUCGAGCGAAGCUUUUCAGUAGUUUACUACAGAAAAUGACUGAGCGGCGAACGGGUGAGUAACGCGUGAGCAACCUACCUUAGUUACUGGGAUAGCCCGAGGAAACUCGGAUUAAUACCGGAUAUUCUUAUUUAAUCACAUGAUUUUUUAAGGAAAGGUCAGCCGAACUAAGAUGGGCUCGCGUUCUAUCAGCUAGUUGGUAGGGUAAUGGCCUACCAAGGCUACGACGGAUAGCUGGUCUGAGAGGACGAUCAGCCACACUGGGACUGAGACACGGCCCAGACUCCUACGGGAGGCUGCAGCAGGGAAUAUUGCGCAAUGAGCGAAAGCUUGACGCAGCGACACCGCGUGUGGGAUGACGGAUCUA
RNAcentral lists this ribosomal RNA (421 nucleotides) under uncultured bacterium. Its description in RNAcentral is "bacterial SSU rRNA". It matches the Rfam family "Bacterial small subunit ribosomal RNA", at positions 1 to 419 of the family's 1533-position model. The record is from RNAcentral.